GGAGAGGUGACCGAGUGGUCGAAGGUGCACGACUGGAAAUCGUGUGUACGGCAACGUACCGCGGGUUCACUUCGCGCCUUCGGCG
RNAcentral lists this transfer RNA (85 nucleotides) under Polyangiaceae bacterium. RNAcentral's name for it is "tRNA-Ser". It matches the Rfam family "tRNA". Rfam says of the family: Transfer RNA (tRNA) molecules are approximately 80 nucleotides in length. Their secondary structure includes four short double-helical elements and three loops (D, anti-codon, and T loops). Lineage: Bacteria; Pseudomonadati; Myxococcota; Polyangiales; Polyangiaceae. The record is from RNAcentral.